RNAcentral lists this ribosomal RNA (1372 nucleotides) under uncultured bacterium. RNAcentral's name for it is "bacterial SSU rRNA". It matches the Rfam family "Bacterial small subunit ribosomal RNA", at positions 28 to 1381 of the family's 1533-position model. The record is from RNAcentral.
GAUGAACGCUGGCGGCGUGCCUAAUACAUGCAAGUCGAGCGAACGGACGAGAAGCUUGCUUCUCUGAUGUUAGCGGCGGACGGGUGAGUAACACGUGGAUAACCUACCUAUAAGACUGGGAUAACUUCGGGAAACCGGAGCUAAUACCGGAUAAUAUUUUGAACCGCAUGGUUCAAAAGUAAAAGACGGUCUUGCUGUCACUUAUAGAUGGAUCCGCGCUGCAUUAGCUAGUUGGUAAGGUAACGGCUUACCAAGGCAACGAUGCAUAGCCGACCUGAGAGGGUGAUCGGCCACACUGGAACUGAGACACGGUCCAGACUCCUACGGGAGGCAGCAGUAGGGAAUCUUCCGCAAUGGGCGAAAGCCUGACGGAGCAACGCCGCGUGAGUGAUGAAGGUCUUCGGAUCGUAAAACUCUGUUAUUAGGGAAGAAUAUAUGUGUAAGUAACUGUGCACAUCUUGACGGUACCUAAUCAGAAAGCCACGGCUAACUACGUGCCAGCAGCCGCGGUAAUACGUAGGUGGCAAGCGUUAUCCGGGAUUAUUGGGCGUAAAGCGCGCGUAGGCGGUUUUUUAAGUCUGAUGUGAAAGCCCACGGCUCAACCGUGGAGGGUCAUUGGAAACUGGACAACUUGAGUGCAGAAGAGGAAAGUGGAAUUCCAUGUGUAGCGGUGAAAUGCGCAGAGAUAUGGAGGAACACCAGUGGCGAAGGCGACUUUCUGGUCUGUAACUGACGCUGAUGUGCGAAAGCGUGGGGAUCAAACAGGAUUAGAUACCCUGGUAGUCCACGCCGUAAACGAUGAGUGCUAAGUGUUAGGGGGUUUCCGCCCCUUAGUGCUGCAGCUAACGCAUUAAGCACUCCGCCUGGGGAGUACGACCGCAAGGUUGAAACUCAAAGGAAUUGACGGGGACCCGCACAAGCGGUGGAGCAUGUGGUUUAAUUCGAAGCAACGCGAAGAACCUUACCAAAUCUUGACAUCCUUUGACUACUCUAGAGAUAGAGCCUUCCCCUUCGGGGGACAAAGUGACAGGUGGUGCAUGGUUGUCGUCAGCUCGUGUCGUGAGAUGUUGGGUUAAGUCCCGCAACGAGCGCAACCCUUAAGCUUAGUUGCCAUCAUUAAGUUGGGCACUCUAAGUUGACUGCCGGUGACAAACCGGAGGAAGGUGGGGAUGACGUCAAAUCAUCAUGCCCCUUAUGAUUUGGGCUACACACGUGCUACAAUGGACAAUACAAAGGGCAGCGAAACCGCGAGGUCAAGCAAAUCCCAUAAAGUUGUUCUCAGUUCGGAUUGUAGUCUGCAACUCGACUACAUGAAGCUGGAAUCGCUAGUAAUCGUAGAUCAGCAUGCUACGGUGAAUACGUUCCCGGGUCU